GACGAACGCUGGCGGCGUGCUUAAUACAUGCAAGUCGAACGGAAAGGCCCUGCGUUUGUUGGGUGCUCGAUUGCCGAACGGGUGAGUAACACGCGAGUAACCUGCCCUUGACUUUGGGAUAACUCCAGGAAACUGGGGCGAAUACCGGGUAGGAUCUCCUGCUGCAUGGUGGGGGAUGGAAAGUUUCGGCGGUGGUGGAUGGACUCGCGGCUUAUCCGCUUGUUGGUGGGGUAGUUGCUUACCAAGGGUUUGACGGGUAGGCGGCCUAAGAGGGUGAACGGCCACAUUGGGACUACGAUACGGACCAGACUCCUACGGGAGGCAGCAGUGGGGAAUAUUGCACAAUGGGCGGAAGCCUGAUGCAGCAACGCCGCGUGCGGGAUGACGGCCUUCGGGUUGUAAACCGCUUUCGCCUGUGACGAAGCGUGAGUGACGGUAAUGGGUAAAGAAGCCCCGGCUAACUACGUG
Molecule: ribosomal RNA, 468 nt
Filed under: uncultured bacterium
Lineage: Bacteria
Description: partial 16S ribosomal RNA
Rfam family: Bacterial small subunit ribosomal RNA
Source: RNAcentral